This 30-nucleotide non-coding RNA is filed under the name Rattus norvegicus (Norway rat). Lineage: Eukaryota; Metazoa; Chordata; Mammalia; Rodentia; Muridae. The record is from RNAcentral.
UCCCAAAUCCGCUGAGAUUUCCUCAGUCCU